Molecule: ribosomal RNA, 1240 nt
Filed under: Staphylococcus aureus
Lineage: Bacteria; Bacillati; Bacillota; Bacilli; Caryophanales; Staphylococcaceae
Description: partial 23S ribosomal RNA
Rfam family: Bacterial large subunit ribosomal RNA
Source: RNAcentral
UGAUUUCACACUGCCGAGAAAAGCCUCUAGAUAGAAAAUAGGUGCCCGUACCGCAAACCGACACAGGUAGUCAAGAUGAGAAUUCUAAGGUGAGCGAGCGAACUCUCGUUAAGGAACUCGGCAAAAUGACCCCGUAACUUCGGGAGAAGGGGUGCUCUUUAGGGUUAACGCCCAGAAGAGCCGCAGUGAAUAGGCCCAAGCGACUGUUUAUCAAAAACACAGGUCUCUGCUAAACCGUAAGGUGAUGUAUAGGGGCUGACGCCUGCCCGGUGCUGGAAGGUUAAGAGGAGUGGUUAGCUUCUGCGAAGCUACGAAUCGAAGCCCCAGUAAACGGCGGCCGUAACUAUAACGGUCCUAAGGUAGCGAAAUUCCUUGUCGGGUAAGUUCCGACCCGCACGAAAGGCGUAACGAUUUGGGCACUGUCUCAACGAGAGACUCGGUGAAAUCAUAGUACCUGUGAAGAUGCAGGUUACCCGCGACAGGACGGAAAGACCCCGUGGAGCUUUACUGUAGCCUGAUAUUGAAAUUCGGCACAGCUUGUACAGGAUAGGUAGGAGCCUUUGAAACGUGAGCGCUAGCUUACGUGGAGGCGCUGGUGGGAUACUACCCUAGCUGUGUUGGCUUUCUAACCCGCACCACUUAUCGUGGUGGGAGACAGUGUCAGGCGGGCAGUUUGACUGGGGCGGUCGCCUCCUAAAAGGUAACGGAGGCGCUCAAAGGUUCCCUCAGAAUGGUUGGAAAUCAUUCAUAGAGUGUAAAGGCAUAAGGGAGCUUGACUGCGAGACCUACAAGUCGAGCAGGGUCGAAAGACGGACUUAGUGAUCCGGUGGUUCCGCAUGGAAGGGCCAUCGCUCAACGGAUAAAAGCUACCCCGGGGAUAACAGGCUUAUCUCCCCCAAGAGUUCACAUCGACGGGGAGGUUUGGCACCUCGAUGUCGGCUCAUCGCAUCCUGGGGCUGUAGUCGGUCCCAAGGGUUGGGCUGUUCGCCCAUUAAAGCGGUACGCGAGCUGGGUUCAGAACGUCGUGAGACAGUUCGGUCCCUAUCCGUCGUGGGCGUAGGAAAUUUGAGAGGAGCUGUCCUUAGUACGAGAGGACCGGGAUGGACAUACCUCUGGUGUACCAGUUGUCGUGCCAACGGCAUAGCUGGGUAGCUAUGUGUGGACGGGAUAAGUGCUGAAAGCAUCUAAGCAUGAAGCCCCCCUCAAGAUGAGAUUUCCCAACUUCGGUUAUAAGAUCCCU